CCUGACGACCAUAGCAAGGUGGUCCCACUCCUUCCCAUCCCGAACAGGACAGUGAAACGCCUUAGCGCCGAUGAUAGUGUGCAU
Molecule: ribosomal RNA, 84 nt
Filed under: Hydrotalea sp. AMD
Lineage: Bacteria; Pseudomonadati; Bacteroidota; Chitinophagia; Chitinophagales; Chitinophagaceae
Source: RNAcentral